RNAcentral lists this non-coding RNA (148 nucleotides) under Nomascus leucogenys (northern white-cheeked gibbon). The record is from Rfam by way of RNAcentral. Lineage: Eukaryota; Metazoa; Chordata; Mammalia; Primates; Hylobatidae.
GCCAGGUGUGGUGGUGUGCACCUAUAAUUCUAGCUACUUGGGAGGCUGAGGUGGGAGGAUUGCUUGAGCCCAGGAGGUUGAGACUGCAGUGAGCUGUGUUUGCACCACUGCACUCCAGCCUGGGCAACAGAGCAAGACCCUGUUUCAA